CCGGGAGGCCAAAGCGCGGAUGUUCAGAAACAUCUCCAAAGUUCACUUCCAGAUGCAAAAGGCGCAGGGGCUCCAGGAAGCUGAAGCUCAAGGACAGGGGAGCAGAUGAGGACAGCAGAAGCCAGGCCUCGGAGGCGGGAGGCGGGGAGUCACCCGCGGAAGCCGGAAGGGGGCGAGUCCACCCGCAAAGAACAAAGGGGAUGCCGCAGGGCGACCUGCCCUCCUCCUCACCCGCCCGCGCCCCGCUACUGCUUCCAACUGGAAGAUGAGAACAAAUCUGCCCACCUGCCGCCGCGCGGCUAGGCAGCGGGCUGUAGGAAGCCGCGGCCACAAGGGGCAGCAGCGCAGCCCGUAGCCCCGCCUCCCGGUCCGGAGCGCGGGCCUUCCAGCAGCGCGCCACCACAGUGAGGUCCGCCCGACCCAGGGGGUCCACAUGUUAUGGCAAGCAACUGAGGUCCACAGAGAACUCUGCAGAGCUAAAGCCUGAAAAACCAUGUUUGGCCUCUGUUUGCCUGAGAGAGUGAGGGCCAAGGCAUUAUUUGAGUGGGAGAGGAGGGCAAAGAGAUAAGGCCUGGACAGGCAGGUGCACCCAAGAAAUGGAUAAUAAGAUGUUCUUUGGAUGCUGACAUUAGCCAGGGGGAAAGCUUUAAUUAUGUCUUGAAGCAACACUUGGUUUUCUUCCUAAAGCCAUUUGAUAUAUUCUCUUGAGUUCUGAGCUGCCUUGGAACUUGCAUUGUUUGUUUCCUAGAGCAAGAUCCAAUUUUAUGUUUAAGGUCCUCGUCAUGGCAUCUUAGGACUUGCUGCUUCUCCCACUGACAAAAUGUGCCAUCCUCCAGGAUCCACAGAGGAAGGGGGUGUUGCCCACUGCUCUGCUGUCAAACAACAACGCUCACUGCAAUACACUUUCAUUACAGCGAAGCACACCACCACGGACAACAGGGAACUUUGCCCAGAACUGGCGGCCUCCCAGCACUGAAGCUAAAUCAUUUAUCUAGAAGAAUCUUUUAUCUUCUGAAUCCCCACUCCCUCCAAAUUCAUGUUGAAGCCCUAUGAUGUGAUGGCAUUAGGAGAUGGGACCUUUAGGAGCUAAUUAGGCUUAGAUGAGGUCAUGAUGGUGAGGCCUCCAAAAUGAGAUUUAUGUCCUUAUAAGAAAGAGCUCUCUGUCUCCAUCAUGUGAGGAAAUGGCAAAAAAAAAAAAGCAGCUCUCUGUGAGUCAAGAAGCAGACCGUCACCAAAGACCAAAUCUGCUGGCCUCCAGAACUGUGAGAAAUAAAUGUCUGUGUUU
Molecule: long non-coding RNA, 1285 nt
Organism: Sus scrofa (pig)
Lineage: Eukaryota; Metazoa; Chordata; Mammalia; Artiodactyla; Suidae
Source: RefSeq, a predicted model, not a curated record